This 1031-nucleotide ribosomal RNA is filed under the name Vibrio parahaemolyticus. RNAcentral's name for it is "bacterial SSU rRNA". It matches the Rfam family "Bacterial small subunit ribosomal RNA", at positions 276 to 1299 of the family's 1533-position model. Lineage: Bacteria; Pseudomonadati; Pseudomonadota; Gammaproteobacteria; Vibrionales; Vibrionaceae. The record is from RNAcentral.
GCGAUCCCUAGAUGGUUUGGGAGGAUGUUCAGCCCCACUGGAAAUGAGCCCCGGUCCCGAAUCCUACGGGAGGCAGCAGUGGGGAAUAUUGCACAAUUGGCGCAAGCCUGAAGCAGCCAUACCGCGUGUUUGAAGAAGGCCUUCGGGUUGUAAAGCACUUUCAGUCGUGAGGAAGGUAGUGUAGUUAAUAGCUGCCUUAUUUGACGUUAGCGACAGAAGAAGCACCGGCUAACUCCGUGCCAGCAGCCGCGGUAAUACGGAGGGUGCGAGCGUUAAUCGGAAUUACUGGGCGUAAAGCGCAUGCAGGUGGUUUGUUAAGUCAGAUGUGAAAGCCCGGGGCUCAACCUCGGAAUUGCAUUUGAAACUGGCAGACUAGAGUACUGUAGAGGGGGGUAGAAUUUCAGGUGUAGCGGUGAAAUGCGUAGAGAUCUGAAGGAAUACCGGUGGCGAAGGCGGCCCCCUGGACAGAUACUGACACUCAGAUGCGAAAGCGUGGGGAGCAAACAGGAUUAGAUACCCUGGUAGUCCACGCCGUAAACGAUGUCUACUUGGAGGUUGUGGCCUUGAGCCGUGGCUUUCGGAGCUAACGCGUUAAGUAGACCGCCUGGGGAGUACGGUCGCAAGAUUAAAACUCAAAUGAAUUGACGGGGGCCCGCACAAGCGGUGGAGCAUGUGGUUUAAUUCGAUGCAACGCGAAGAACCUUACCUACUCUUGACAUCCAGAGAACUUUCCAGAGAUGGAUUGGUGCCUUCGGGAACUCUGAGACAGGUGCUGCAUGGCUGUCGUCAGCUCGUGUUGUGAAAUGUUGGGUUAAGUCCCGCAACGAGCGCAACCCUUAUCCUUGUUUGCCAGCGAGUAAUGUCGGGAACUCCAGGGAGACUGCCGGUGAUAAACCGGAGGAAGGUGGGGACGACGUCAAGUCAUCAUGGCCCUUACGAGUAGGGCUACACACGUGCUACAAUGGCGCAUACAGAGGGCAGCCAACUUGCGAAAGUGAGCGAAUCCCAAAAAGUGCGUCGUAGUCCGGAUU